Molecule: RNA transcript, 18910 nt
Organism: Pseudopipra pipra
Lineage: Eukaryota; Metazoa; Chordata; Aves; Passeriformes; Pipridae
Gene: LHX4
Gene name: LIM homeobox 4
Exons: 4
Source: RefSeq, a predicted model, not a curated record
CCGGUGCAACUACUUGCCUCACACUGCAGUGGGGGCAGGUGGCUUUUCCAGCCCCCCCUGGAGACAGACCGGGAUCAAGGACCCCCCCCAGACAGUGUCCAGUGUCUCCAGAAGCUGCCCCAAGUAUGGGGACAGGGAACAGCCCAGCCCUGACAGAGCCAGGCAGGUCUGUCCUGCUGGGCACUGAGAUGACCAGUGUGGGGAUGCCCCAUCUCUGUGACCCCAGGAGACAGGGGGCUCCUUGCCAGUGCUGCCAACCUGCACCCACAGGCUGGUGGGGUUCUUUUAAAUUAUUUCAAACUGAAACCCAAAAAUAUAUCUCUGGAAUAAUGAAAUACUGCCCUUGGCUUGCGGCUGGCAUGGAGGGGCUGGGGUUCUGCUUGCUGGCAUGGGCCGGGGGUGGGUGCCUGUUUUCCCAUGGCGCUGCUGGGGGUGGGGAGGACCUCAGUCUUGGAGAGUUUGAGUUCUUUUUUCCAGCCAUGGAAGGGGAAACUCGUGCCAAAAUGUGUCUCUCCAGCAGAUAGAGGUGGCAUGGCAGCAAUGGCUGCCCUCUGCAUGGCGGUGUCCCACAUCUGGGCACAUCUGCCUGCAGCAUCCCCAACAUCUGAGCACAGCUGCCUGCAGUGCAGAGGGGACCCCAAAACCUGCAGUGCCUCAAAAGCCAGGAGGGUGAUGCCCAGCAGAUGCUGGUGAGAGUUUUCCCCACUCCCUAGUGCCACAGGACCCUCUGCUUGUCCUGGAGCAAGAGUCAGGUGAGGACUGGAGAUCUGCACUUGCUGCACCUUUAUUUAGUGUUAACGGGAAGGGCACCACCAGCGACAGAAAAGCAAAUAUACACAGGAAAAGGGACCAGAGACAGUUGGGUGGUGUGCAGUGAUUCCAGAAGCUGGGCCACCCCCUGGACUACUGAAGGAGCAGUCCUGCACAGGAGUCAUUCCCAGAGGAUGCACAACCACACCGACAACAAUGCAGGGAUCGGAGGUGUGCAAACACCGUCCGGCAGCGAGCCCAGCUCCAUGGCCAGACUCACGCUCCCGGGAACCUGCUCUUGGAGAGGUAUAAGCCCGAGGAGAGCGGUGCAGACACUGCGAUAGCCAGCCCUGGAAAGCAGACACCGCCUAUUCCUUGCAGCGUAACCAAAGGAAACGGGAUGCUCUGCAAGGAUAAGGAGCCACUGUGAAAUGAGGAGUGCGGGUGGGCUCCGAGGGCACCACGUGUGCGUUAACGGCGAGAGCACCCGGGUGGGCGCAGGGCAGCUCGGCUGGGCCCCCAUCCGGCACCCGGCUGCAGAAGGCACGGUGCCACCAGCUGUGCAUCCAGCGGCGGGGACGGGGGGCACACAGACCUUGGAGGGAGCCACAAACCCGGUGGGGAGGAGUGUUCAGUCCUGGAGGUAAAGCCAUCCGGCGGCGAGCUUCCAAGGCUGGGAGGACGAUUUUGGGGGCGAUUUGGAAUUUCAUCAGAAGUCUUUGUGUCAGUGCCAAUUAACUUCCUCCCCCAGCCCAUCUGGGAGCCAUAAGCCAGGCUGUCCUGAGUCUUUUCAUGUUUGCAGCUUAAAUAUGGGAGCAGACUGGAGUAAGAAACCGUUUUUGCUUUCCUGAAGGGUCACCCCACAUCCCAUAAUCAGUGCUUGCAGCAUGACCCCUGUGCCUGCCUGUUCCUCCCCAGUGACACUUGCCCAGGUGAGCUUUCUUCGCCACAUUUUGGUAUUGCCCACCUGGCUACUCCACAUUCCCUGUACGAGGGAGACAACUUGGCUACCUGACACUGCUGAGACAACUCAAGUGACAAACAACUUGGAGGUAACAAAAGGACUGGGAAGGAAUACGGGAACAUGAUAUAGCUUUGAAUCUCCAGCCUUUUGGUUGCUUAAAAUGGAGGUGUCCAAAAAAUAAUGGUUGGGAAAAAUUAAAACAUCAUAUUUACAAGUUCAUAUGCACUUAAAAUACAUCACUGAGCACUGUUUCUCUGAUCAUGCAUGUCGUGCACCUGCAGAGAGAACGUGGCUCGGUCAUCAAAAAAAGUUUUUUUUUUCCUUAAAAAAAAUAAGUUAUUUUAGACCUGACAAAUCACUUGCCAAAGGGAAGCAGCUGUUAAACAGAAGCAGUGACUCAGUUAUACAAGGGCAAGGAAAGCAUCAGUCAACGAGCUUCAGAGGCUGCAUAAUGAGGGAGGCAAUUUUAAAAGCUUUAAGACACUCCCUCUCCAGCUCACCGCUGAUUGCCAGUGCUUGGCGUGCAGCAACCCAAGUUUAAAGCUCUGGGGUGUCUAACGGUGACCGGGUGGCCGAUGGCAGGACACGAGACCCUCCGGCUCUGCCUUCUGCCCAGGUGUGGAGGGUGGGAAGGCUCUGCUGCGGACUCAACGUGCUCUCUGAGCGGUGAGUCGGCGGCACAGAGCCGGCCCGCGGCAGGGGGGAGGCGGCGUGGGGCAGGGAGAGUGUGGCCGGGCCUCCCGCUGCCUGGUAAUGCUCGUGGCUGGCGGUGGCGGCGCGGUUUGUAAUGCUCAGUGAAUUCAUUAAUUCCUCCUCCCUGUCCCGUCCUCCCCAGGGCUCGCUGCUCUGUGUCCGCAUUCCACCGCAGGCAGCUCGGGACCGCCGCGACCAGCUCCUACCUGCACCGGGUGGACACGCGCGGCUUGAGUCCUCCUCCAGCUCCCCGGGUCCAGACCUGGAGCUCAGGUCCAGAUCACAGUGCACCAGGGGAGGAGGCAGCUCCAGUCCUCCAGCCCCUCUCCCCGGAGCCAAGUGAGACGCCGGCAAAGCCGAGCCGCAGUCCUCGGAGGAGGAUGGUGAGAGCUGGCUGCGGGUUUUCUCUGUGGGCGGACGGAAACAGUGAGAGUUUCAUUUCCCCGUGCUGCCGGGGCGAGGGGGCGGGGAGGGGGCGUCCAAGGAAGUUCAGUCCAUCACAGGACAAGGAACAGGAUGAGCACCACCAGCAAGAUGAUGAAGAGUACGAUAAUUGCACACCACUGCCGUCGAUCUGGAAGGAAAAGGAAGCAUCAGUCUUCCUGCUAUAGUGGGGAAGGAAAAUUGGGGGAGCACUUUCCUUUGUUGUACUGCUAGGAGCCCAAAGCCAUAAGAAGCUUAAAGCCAUAACAAGCCAAAACAGCAGUUCCUGUGGGAGCAUGCCUUACUGCAAGAUACAACGCCACAGCCUUUCUCCUCCAGGAUACAUCAGGUUUCGGGAACAGCUGUGGGAAUUCUGAGGUUUCUCCCCAACUAAGUUCAAACAGAUCUGAUAAGCUGGUUCAAAAACAAUUGGAAAGAACAAGCAGAGAGCUGCCAUGUUUGCUGUUCAUUCAUGGAGUAAUCUGUUUGCUAGAGGAACAAGAAGGGAUCUGGUGAAAGCUGCCCUGAAGAGCUCUGCCAGGAAGAGCUUGUGGCAGCUCCCCUUAGGAGAGGGCCAGGAAUAAGGUUUCCCUGGACGUCUUUACACUUCCCUGGCUCAACACUGCAUUGCCUCUGAGAGCUGCUGUCUGCCCCUGUGAGACAAUGGUGCAGCAGUGGGAACAGGGUGCUGGCAGCCCCCAACUCCUGGGCUCAGCAGCUACCCUGGGAAGAGCCCUCCUGGUCGGCCCUGGUACGAGAUGCCAGCAGAAAUGCUCUUUUCACAACACUCGGAAACACUCUGCAAUGAUUCAUGGGUUUUCCCAGAGGAAAGGGCAGAUACACAAGGUUUGCCAGCGGUUGUGCUGCUGCUGGGCUACUGGUGACCCAAAGUGCACUGUCAGCACUCCAAGCGGUCUCUCUAGGGCUGUAUUCCCACCACCUCAUAAAUCCCCUGGACAGCCUAAUCCUGCACAGCAGGAAUGCUUUUCCUCCUGGUUGGCUGCUGCCUUCACAAGGUACCUGAGCACCCACAGGAGAGGGGUACUGGAGGAGGUGACGCCAGGCACUCCGCCAGCGCUGGGAGAGGCGAGCUGGCGGCGGGGGACUUCCCGGCAGGCACGCCGGGCUUCCUGUUUGCUCUGCCCAUGGCACUCCGCCAGCCCACCGGCUUCAGGCACAGCCUUAUAAGGACUUUUCUCUGGGUUCAGCACAGAAUUCAGCCCUUUCCUCCACCAGAUGAUCUGAUCAACGACAGGCCUGCAGGCGCCAGCAGCCCGAGGGCAGGUGGGAUUCGGGAAGGGGCUUGCCGCAGGCAUUCCGGUGUGGGGGAAGCCACACAGUGACCAGGGUUAAUGGCACCUUGACAGCUUUUGUUCCACUGGCAGCACGGGAAACUGCAGCAGAGCAGGAGGCUGCAGAGCUUCCCCUCCUACCAGCCAGAGGGGGAUUUUCCCAGCAGUAGCGGCAUAAAUAGAAAGGCAUCUGUAAAUAAAACAAAGGCAGCUGCCGGGCCUGGAAGUCUUCCCCCUUGUUCAAGCACUGAGAGCUGCUCCCUCCCCUCUGCUGGGUGGGUGGGAGCACACAGUGUCCCAGCCUGAAGAUCUGAGGGCUUAUCCCUGCCUUUCCAGGACUGGAUUCCACUUCCCAGGACCUACCACUCGUCAUGUGAGACACUUUGGCGAGCUUCUUCAUGACGUUAUCAAGCCGCGACUGAGUGCUGUCUAACUCGUGGGAGAAGUCAUCCAGCAUCCUGGGGACACAGAAGCAGGACACUGGUCAGCAGGUGGCACAACCCUUUGGGAUUUCGCAGCGCGCUCACACACACUGAUCAAAACAUUGAUGGGAUCAGAGUAUCACACUUUGGCAGAGAAAAUGAGCAUGCCUCAAUCUCCUGGAAGCACCCAAGGGGAGAAAAAACCUGCUGAAGCAGCAGCUCCGCUUUGGUGGGAAGCAGGAAGUAAUUUGGGACUCCUGUCAGACUGAUCCCUGCUGUGUGUUCGGGGCUGAGCUCUCACGCAUCUGCAAGGUGAAGGGGGGGGGGCUUUCCUCCUUACAAGAGGAAAGUCUCAUUUAUAAUCUGUGAUUAGCAGGGACUAGUUAGAUCUAGGUGCCAGCUUGGAAUUUAAAUCUCUUUUCUUGUUCAAGGCUUGCAGUGGAAGCUAAAAUCUUGUUUCAGUCAUGUAUCAAGCGGGAAUGAGAUCUGCAAUUGCUUUGAAGGUGCUUUUUAAGCUCUGCGUGGAAGUUACCACUCUACUUCUUCCACCCAGCAACUGCAAUGAAUCUCAAAGCCUUCCUGAAUCCAUGCUUUAUCAAUGCCACUGCACAUCCAGAAUCAAGGUACAAAUCCAAUUGUCUCCAGCCAGUGGGACUUUAAAGCUUAAUGUGUUUAAAAGGACAGCUUCCUUCAUCUGGAGUUCUAGGGCACUUGUUAAACCUUCAUUCAGUGGGGAGAAAGGAAGAGUUGUAAAAACCUCACUGUGGUAGUUGUGUGCUAGUCUAGCAAGCACCGAUGGCUUGUGUGAUUAUCUGAAAACAGACAUACCACACUGACCUCUUCUGUGAGAGCAGAGGACUCUCACACUGCAGGACUUCACACAGGGGGUGGGUUUGAAGUCCCCCCCUCUCCAUCAAAGACGACACCACAUCACAAGUGACAUGGCCCUCCAGACUCCUACCAGCCAAACAAGGAGGGUUUUUAGGUAUGAACCCUCCAAGCCUCUCUGGAAGCACUGCUGUUAGCCUGCACAACUGGGAACUUGUUUGCAAAGGACAAGAACUGGGGGAGAAAUCUAAUUUAUAUGUAAAUGGGUGGAUGCAAAUGACUUUGUGAGCUGCCCUUUAACCCUUUGCAUGGGUGAGGGCUAUUUUUAGCUUUAAUGAUGAAGAGCACCUCUGUGUUGUGUGUUUCAGGGCGGCAAGGCAGAGCUGAGAGCUCCCAGCUCCAACAGUUAUCAGCGCAAAACCCUGCGGAGUGGGGAAGUGCUCAGUAUCCCCCCUUACACAGCACCUCCCUCUCUUAUUUGUCUGCUGGCUGCCUGAGGGGGAGCAUGUGCAAAGAAAAGAGGAGGAAAGGUAAGCUGGCAGCUAAGCCUGCCCUAGGUGCAGGCUUUCAAAUGAAGGAGGCUGCAGUUGGAUCCUUGCAGAUUACAGUACAAAAUGCUUUCCAAAGGCUGCCUGAGGGACCAGUAAAUUCAAGGCCCUAACAGGGGCAGAGAGAGGUGUUUGAGGACCUCCAGCUGUGUUGCAGCCAACCCCAUACCGGGUUUUUGUUGCCACAUCCCACACUUACACUGCUUGCUCCUCCAGCUCCCCGCCAAUGCGCUGGGACAUGUUCUUCAGCACCCCAAUGCUGCCAGAGACCAGCUCCAACUGCUCAUCUUGCUGCUCCACGAUCAACUGGGGCCAGAGAGAAGGGAAACGGGCAGUUACAGGUCUGCCUCCUGCAGCUGGGCUGGAACCAGCUGAUCCAGUGGACAGGCACUUGCUGCUCAGCCAACAUCAGCUGUGAGGCCUGGGCUCAGACUUAAGCCACCAGGAAUGAGGACCGUGUUCCUAAGAAACGCUGGAGAGGUGACAGCCAUAGGAAAGCCUCUGUGGCAUGGCAUCCCCAUGGCACAGCAGGCUGCAGCCUCCAGACAUCCCUGCAAAUCCAGCCUCAGCUCACCCACAACGCACCCACAGCUAAAACGACUGUGGGAAGCCACAGGAACUGGUCAUCAAAACCUUGGCAAGGUAAGCAAGUACAGCAGAGGACAUCUGGGAGCCAUGCUGAUGCUGUGCCUGGGAAAUGCAACCUGGAACAUGCUGCAGCUAACAAGGGGUUAAUGCAAGUAAGAGGCUGUUGCAGCUUCUACAGCUAAAAAUAGCCAGCCUGGCUCCAUGUGCCAAAGGAAUAAGUCUGCUGAUGUUUUAAGUCAUUUUCAGGACAGAGUCAUGCUAAGGAUUAGAUUUACCCUAGUUACCUAUUUCUGAAUCUAUUUAUCUUCCUAGAGUCAGUAGGUAAAACACUUCUGGAAGCUGGGGAGGCGUCAGAGGUCAGGAGAUUUAGCAGUUUGCCACCUCUGAGAAGCUGCCUGAGUAAAGGCCUGUAGUUGGCUGGGCUGCUGCACACGGUCUGUGCCCGGCCUGGGCACUUCUCCAGGCAAACUCCCCUGUCAGCUGGGAAGUGUCAGCUGGGAAGUGCCUCGCCAGGGGUUCUCCCAAAGCUCAGGCUUUCUCACUAAUCUCACGGUGACAAAGGCAGGAAAAGGAAGCAGGCGCGUGCUCCUGCUCCCAGCCUGUUCCGAGGGAGAUGCACAACAACAACAGCAAACACUUUUUAACCAGGGGAAGUUGCAUAAGAGAAACGGGUUCUUUUCUGUUUGCAACAUUUCUACUCUUCCAAGGAUUUCAGCAGUCCUUGUACUAUUACAGCUCAGCACGCUACAUAUUCCAGAUCGUGCUGACUGCCUUCUAAACAGAGCAGAAGCCUCAUGCCUCAAAGGUUAAAAGCUCAGUGCCAAGAUGCAUCCGAAGCUGUGCUGUACAGGAAAUACAGGCAAAGAUACAUGCCACAAGCAAAGAAGAUGACUGUCAGGCUCCUGGAUCCAGACCAGCCAAGGACUGGAUUUUUUUUGGCUCUCGCUGCCUGUACCUCAUCCCCCGGCACCCAUUUGGCAGCAAAGCUAUUUAUCCCACACGGUGCCAGCUGCCUUACCUGUUGUUGCGCUUGCUGCUCCUCGAUGAAGUGUGAAUUUGCUAAUUGCAGCUCCCGGUCCAGACGGCUGUAUUUGUCAGGUCCAGAGCUCCAACUCUGACUCCCACUGUCUCCCAGGAGUGCCUAAACAGAUGCAGAGAGCACUUAGCAACACCCUUGUGUCUGCUCACAGCCCAUCUGCAGGGUGUAGUGGGAAGGCAGACAAGGCAACACUCCUGUACACACACACACACACACACACACACACACACACACACACACACACACACACACAGAGCAUCCCCUUCCUCCUGCUGCUACUCAGCCAAACUGCUGUCAUGGACUAAACCAAUACAACGCCAAAAUUCCAGCCUGGUAAGUCUCUGCAGCCUCGUAUUGCAGAUAUGCCUCUCCAGCAGCAGGAGAGCUGGAGUAUGGCAGGAGGUCUGUGCAGCACAAAGGCCUAGCAAAGGCCUGCUCAAAAGGCACAGCACUGUGUGCUGUGAGCUGGGAAGUAUCUGGAUAUAUUGUGUUAACAGAUGUACAGCUUGAACUGAGUGCUGUGCUGCUAAUGACAGGGGCUUAAGAGGGUCUGGAUAAAGUACUUAACCAGUUGAGCUGACAGUAAGAUAGUGCAAUAUAACCAAAGCAGUGCUGUAUGCUUAUGUUCUAUGAUCCAGGCUGCCCUCCAGCAGGCGGUUCAGCUGCCAGCUUACCAGGUUACACUUGCUCCCUGCCCUAUGACCUGGACAGAGGAAAGCUUGUGUAGAGCCAGCUGAGUAUGUCUGGUCCCUGGAAGUGGAGUAACACAAGCAACAGAUGCUCGACAGUGCACCUGCAGGUGGUAAGGCUGAUGCAGAAUAGACAAGUGAACUGUGCACACCAGCUUUAUUGAGAUGGCUCUGGAAGUCAGCUCUGGGAUCUCCUUACAGCCUCCCUGUCAGCCAGGAAGGAGCACAAGCUGCAUCUAGUUCUAUGCCUUAGAUUACAAGCGCAGACAACUCAAGAUUCCUUGAGCUUCUUCCAUCUUCUCACAUGGCUAUUAUGGGAGGCAGCUGUGCAAAAGGAUAUUGCACCAUCUUGGCUCCUAAAUCCAGCAGAGAGCAGGAUUACAUUCACUGACAUGGAUUCUGAGGCGGUUCCCCCUGAGGAGGAGGAGGGAGAUUUCCCUUUCCAAGGGAUGAUGCAACGGUGACAGUUGUACACAACUAGAUCUGAAGACACAGACAGAUGGCGAGUGCUGACUUACUGCUUUGAGAGACAGGCUUGGAAAAGGGUGGCAGCAAUGUGCCUGCGAGAACCAGCUCUCCCAGGUCAGCCAAGCAGACAGGGCUCAAACACACAGCUCGGCCCCCACGUGCAAACCCCUUCCCAGAACAAAGGUUUGUAAGGGAAUCAACUACAGACAGGAUAUACAUUGUAACAGAUAUAUAUUGCCUGUUUCUGGCUCUCACCUGCCUGUUUUUUCUUUCAGCCAGCGCUUGCAUGGAGGAGUUCGACAUCUGAUCCUUCAUAUCCUGUUUGUUCAACAAAAGAAGCAGCAUGUGAGCACUGGAUUUGAGGUGACAGGCAGUUCCAGGGUGUUACAGGGCUGUCUAUACCCAGCAAGGGAAGGGAGGUUUUCUUUGAGAAUGUACAGUUUUGAAGAGUCUGGAAAGAUAUCGUAGAAAGUUUCAUUGCAGUUCAUAUUGUUCUACUAAUGCUAAAACCAAUGGCAAUGGGAUAUUUUGAUAAUAUUCCUUAUUUACUGCUCAUUUUGCUCUACUACAACCAGAAACACUUUGAUUUGUACAAUAAACUAAUAUUCCCAUUGAUAGAGUGUAAGGAAGAGUAAUGUUUGUUAAGGCCUUGGAAGCCUGUAAACCCCUGUGCUUUGUUCCCAGGUUCUAUAUUGCAUAGGAUGAGGUAGGUUUCCUGUCGUGUGGCCAACCUCUCUGUCUGUGCCUAGGUUUUCUCCUUACCAAUUAAUUUUUGCUGUGGAAUUCCUGCAGAAGGUCACUAACCACAGAAGGCUCCCCAUCUCAACAUAACAUAGUCUAGUUUUUAUAGGUUAGCAAGUAGUCAACACGAUCUGGCAGAGGCUGAUCCACCAGCACAGUUCUGAUGUCAUCAGAGCAUUCAGGUGUGUUUUACUGUUCAGAGAUGUGCAACUCAUCACUCAAGAGCACCAGAUCCCAUUGGUUACUUCUCACGGGCUAACAAUGCAUGUGCUGCUGCACAUCAUGAAUUCCUCCCCGAAAACUGGAAGUCAGCUGCACAUUGCCACUAACCAGUUUCAUUUACCAGUAGGAGACAUCGCUCCAAAAGCCAUUAGCCAGCAGUUUUCAGCCAGGUAAAGAGGACCAGAGAGCAGACCUGCCUGAUCCUGCCUGUUUGGGAGUGGACCACAGCAGGGGCAAGGCAGUGAGCACAUGCCUGCUGCCUGGGGCCAGCAAGGUUUCGGGAUCAGUUCCCAGGUAAGCCUUAGGAACUGCACCCAGACCGCAGGACUGCAGGUGGGGUUACAAGCCUGCUGCCAGCCACAGCAGUGCAUUCUGUGGAGCAGGAACAUCAGAGUCAUGAGGGGCAGCAGAAACUCAGUGUAGCUAUUAACAGAGAGAAAACUUCCUAACUAGCAGCUUGUUACCAGGCAGUGAGGCUUUGGGGAAGACAUUUCUUCUCUUUUUAUUGCUACCAAGUUGUUAAAAUCCCCUUUUUGCUUCUGAAGUGUGAUCUUAAACUAAAAAAAAAUCCUCCUUGAGUUAAAAAUAAAUCUAGUGGUUGCUUGGACUAUUUUUCAGGGGUAGGAAGUUGAAGUCACCACGUCAAUAACACCAGGCUUUAACCAUCUGCCAGUGUUUAAAGUGGUCUCCCUAUUUUUGAAAACUAGUGCUACAAGUGGUCAGGACAGUUGUGAUUCCCCUAAACUCUGAAGGGAGGCUCCAGCCUCCCCUGCAUCACAGCGGGGUCUUUACUCUUCCCCCCCAGUUACUACACAUUCCCAGGCUCACUGUUGUAAGAGAGGUGUGAAGACUUCCAGGGACAGCAGCAGAAAAGGAGGGAAUGCCACGAGACACCCGCACUCCCAAACCCACCUGGGCAGCCCCAGGCGGGAGCGCACGGGGAAGAGGAGGAAGUCUGGCACAGAGUGGGUAGCAGGUUUAUUCUCUGCUCCCAAGCUUGCCUUUUUUAACCAUCUUUUCUUAACCCCUCUACCUUCCCCAGGCUCUGGCCCCAAGCCCACAUUCCUUACCCUGACCACCUGCCGUGUGCUGGUGAUGAAGGCUUUCCUGAUGCCCAGCUCCGUCGCAUCGAGGUUGAAUUUCCGCGGGUUUGCCUCAACAAUGCGUGGGCAGCGAGUCAAGGAGUCCCCGGAAGUGGUGUUGGGUGCACACACGGACACACAAAACCCCAAGCGUGCCAAGUGGCCAUUGUUCUGUGCCCGUUCCCAAAAUUUGAUUAGCGAAGUACAGAACACUGGACGGAAGAACAGGCAUGGCAGGAAUGUACCGUGCACCAGCGGUAGGUUCCUCCUUUCCAUGUUUUUUUUUGGUUCUGUGAUGCUGUGCAGCGCUUUCAGGAGCGCUCAGAUGAACACAAGGGAAAAGGAGUAUUUCUGGAAGCCAGCCUAGGGUAUGACUGACUCCGCAGAAAUCCAGAUUCAUACAACACAAUAGGCUUUCUAGAACAAAGCAUCUUAGAAUAUACCUUGUAAAAAGGGAAACAAAAAAGCAAGGGGAAAAUCCUUGCCUUAAUUUUUCACUGAAGUUUGAGAAGAGCUAAUGUAAAUGUUAAAUUCAAUCCCAAACAGUCCUGAUUUCUGCAAAAAAUGGCAAGCACUGGUACUUGGGGAUUUAGUACAACUUGGGAACCACAAGCCCCUACCUCCAAAGGACCACAGAAAGGAUAUUAAUGGUUUCAUCCAGGUCUUCCAGGUCCCACUCGAUGCUCCGCAGGUUGUUCCUGAGCUCAUUUGUGGUCCAGUCGAUUUCUUCUCUUGUGGCGAUGGAGGGAUCCUGCAAGAGCUCUGUCCACCUCUGGAAGAGCCCCUGGGCAGUGUUUACGGCUUUCUGCACCUCCCUGCAGCCGGGGUGAGUGAAGAGAAGCCAAGGAAUUAUCAUCAGCUGCCCCGCAGCAGUGACACUGGGACAGCCCCGUGUCCAGCUGAGCAGGGAAGCUACCGCUUCCUCCCAAACAUCUUUCCUUCAAACAACUAGUUUGGUUUGUAAAAUAAGGAUUUGCCCUACCUCCUGGACAAUCCUGUCUCUUGCUGCAGCACAAGGUGCUGUGCAGCAACAACUUACAGCUAUUAAUGAAGGGACCUAUUUCUUCAGGGGAAGUGUCACACGGGCAAGCCAGGGCAGAGGGUCUGAAAGAGGCAGCUCUUUGGCAAUCCAUGUUUUGCAUUCCUCUCAACAGUUUUCCUCUGAAGGCUCUUGACUACCCAUGUAAGAUACCCCAAGGGCACACAGAGUUACAGGAACUGUCCCCACAACACAGCCAGGCAGACUGUUGAGUGCAGCACUGUUUAUUUUAAUUCAGCAUUUAAAAAAAUACACAGCCCUACUAUGCUGGCUUAGGGAACACAAGUUUUUUCUGCUGCUCUAAGCUCUUUUGGAGAUGAGUGCAUUCACAGCAGGGGAAGACUUUGCUGACAGCACUGCUCUGGGGCAAGCAGGUUUGUAAAUUUGGGUGGUGGGCCCUCAGUGUGGUUAUCUGUAUUUACAAACUCUGGGACCCUGAGCUGUGAACUGCUCCCCCAGGUUCACAGGGAGUUGGGAUGAAGUUGAGAUCAGACUGUGGUGGUGUGAAAGGUGGCCACCAUGAGCUUGCACACAGCAUCCAUGUCAGAUGCAGGUGUUUCACCCCAGUGAAGGAAAGCAGGCUAACACCAGGAGAAGCUCAGGACAGAUGAGAUGAGCCCACACCCUGCAGGGGUGCCAGGACUGCAGCUCUCACUGUUACACCAGGGCCUGAAGUCCUCAAACUGCUAUCUGAGCUGCAGCUCUCAGCGCCCCAGUGCGCGCCCCUCCUCUUCCCGCACGCCCACGGCUCCGAGUCUGCCACAUCGAGUGCCCUAAAGUCAGCAACCCACACUGAGGAUCUGGAAAACUUCAUUCCCUACUCUACUUGCCAGCAGUGCUUUUGGUUUUGUGUUGUUGGUUUUUUUUUCAUCUGAACACACUUGUGGAAGUACCCAGAAGCAGGAAUGUAAAGCAGAGCUGGAUGUCCUCCGACGGGAAGAGUUACAGACACCAGGAAAGCAAGCUAAAUGCAACUCUGGUUGGCUCCACAACCAACAGCCCCUCAGACCUGCCAGGUAAUAAUUAACUCUGGGAGCGGCAGCACAUCCCCUCUCCCCUCCCUGCCCUUCCCCAAAUGCCGCAGGAAUCUCUCUGGAAAGUCUGACAGGACAUUUGCUCCCCACCCAUGGCAACUCCUAUUUUUUCCCCUUAGCACCGUUUCAACCUGGCAGAGGGACUCACUUUCCCUGGCUGCACCAGCAUCCCUUCCCACACCUCCUGCACUCCCGUGGCUUCCCCCAUCACCCCCCUAUGAGCCUCUCUGCUGCUCCUCACUGCUGUUACAUUGUGACAUGGAGCAGAAGACCAUCCCCCAGCCAAAGCUGAAGGUGGCUCCGGGGCUGUGUUUUGAGACUGCAGUGCUUUCCCAGAAUCACAAAACAGCUGGAGUUGGGACCUCUGGAGAUCAUCCAGUCCAACCUCCCUGCCAAGGCAGGGUCACCUGAAGCAGGUGACACAGGAUGUGUCCAGGUGGGUUUGCAAUGUCUCCAGAGAAGGAGACUCCACGACUCCCCUGGGCAGCCUAUUCCAGGGCUCUGCCACCCUCAAUGUAAAGAAGUUCUUCCUUAUAUUGAGGUGGAACUUACUGUGUUUGAGUUCAUGGCCAUUGCUCCUCAUCCUGCUGCUGGGCACCACUGAACAGAGUCUGGCACCAGCCUCUUGGCACCCACCUUUGAGAUAUUUAUGUGAAUUGAUGAGAUCCCCUCUCAGUCUUCUCUUCUCCAGACUAAACAGGCCCAGCUCCUGCAGUCUCUCCUCAUUAGAGGGAUGCCCCAGACCCCAAAUCAUCCUUGUGGCCUCUGCUGGACUCUCUCCAGCAGCUCCAACGGAGCGACUUUUACCCUAUUAAGAAUAAUCUUCCCUUGCCCACCUUUGUGUUUGCCUGUGUUCCGUCUCCUCUCCGCUCGCUUCCUCUCACGGCCAUUGUCCGUCCCACAGCCUGGUCCCCGCUCCUCUCCCCCUUCCCCCAGGGACACCGCGGCCCCCCGGGGCUCCCAGCCCCGAGCCGCCAGCCCGCGGUGCCCGCUGCCCGCGGGGCCGCACCUGCAGCCAGGGCCGGGGUGCCCCCGCGGAGCGCGGGGAGGCCCAGCCGCGGCCCGACCCCUGCCCGCCCGCCCCCGGCGCCUCCCGUGCCCGGCCGCCACCGCCGGACCCCCGCGGUGCCCACACUCAGCCCCUCGGCAGCGCGGGGGGGCCCGGCCGCCAUUUUCCCCCCCACACAGAGACCCCUGCCCGCCGAUCGCUCCCCUCUCCGCGGGCCUCCCGCGCUGCGGGGCGGCCGCGCCCGCCCGCUCCGCGCCCGGGAGCGCCCGCGGCCCCUUCCCCGUCGCUCCGGCCGUGCCCCGGAGCCCCCCGCGGGCGGCACUCACCCCUUCACCACGAAGAAGGGGUCCUCCAUCGACAUGGCGCUGCCGCCGCCUCACGCCACGGCCGCCCACAGGCCCCGCCCCCGUCAGGCCCCGCCCUCGUCACGCCUCCAUCAGGACACGCCCCCGCAGCACCGCCUAUGGGGGCGUGGUCUGGUGACGUCACUCCGGCAUGGCGCGCGGGGCCCGGUCCCGGCGGGAUCGUGGAGCGGCCCCGGCUCUGCCAGGGAAGCUCCCGCAGUUCGCUCCGGGGUCCCUCACAGCCGCAUAAUCACAUACACAAUCGGUCAGGCGGGAAGGGACCACUCCGGGUCAUCUGGUCCCACCUCCCUGCUCAAGCAGGGUCAUCCGAGAGCACAUGGCACAGGAUUGUGUCCAGGCGGUUCUGGCAUAUCUUCGGUGAAGGAGACUCCACACCCUCCCUAGUCUCUGUUCCAGUGCACAGUAAAGAAGUUCUUCCUCGUGUUGAGGUGGAAUUUCUUGUGGAUCAGUGUCUGCCCGUGGCCUCUUGCCCUAUGAAUCAGCACCACUGAGCAGAGCCCGGUCCAUCCUCUGACCCCUCCCUUCAGAUACAGUCAUUGAUGAGGUCCUCUCUCGGUCACCUCUUCUCCAGGCUGAACAGGCCCAGCUCCCUCAGCCUUUCCUCCUAAGCGAGAUUCUCCAGACCCUUGACCAACUUAGUAGCUCUCCACUGUACCUGCUCCAGGAGCUCCAUGUCUCUUUUAUACUGUGGAGUCCAGAACUGCUCACAGUACUCCUAAAUGUGGCCUUGCCAGGGCUGAGUAGAGGGGUGGGAUCACUUCCCUGGAUGCCUGAGUCUCAGCAGCCCUAUCAUGACAGAGGUGGUUCCAUAUUCCUACCUAAUGCCUUCCCACAACAGUCCCCAGACUGAAUCACUGGCAUCACUGUGCCACCAGCAAGACAGUGCAGAAGGCGGUAUAUGUCCAAUUCCUUGUGUUAUGUCGAUUUAUAAUGUUAAUUAAAAAAAAAAAAGAAGAAGAACAAAAAGCAGCCUUCUUAGUGAAGAGAGUAAGUGAGGUAAGGAGUUCAGCCACCAUCUCCUCACACACCUGGAGUUAGCAGCUGUAUUGUCCAUGCCAGACUAUUUUGUGUGGAGGACAUUUUGUGCUUUAUGCCAAAGCCAGGACAGUAACUUUUUUCUCCCUCACAGGAUUUGCAGUCUUACAAACCUCAUACAAGCCAGCCAGCCAGCCUCUACACCCAGGUUCAUCGGUCACGUCACAAAAACCUGUGUCCAAGUGUGGAGAUAAUCCAGAAAAAGAAGGGUUCCCAACCAUUUGCCUGCUCUGCACAGGCACAGGGAUCUCCUGCUGAAAGGGUUUCCUCCACCUACUGCUCAUUUCUGUUCUGCACCCUGCAUUGGAGACACCUUUCUCACUCCUUGCUUAUUUGCUAUCCUAGUUGAUAAAAUGAGUAAUAUGCACUUGCCAAGAAGGAGGGGAAACUUCCAGCCACAGGGAAGCUCCAACAGCUCUCCCUGCAGCAUUCUGAGGCCCCACAUCCCUCUCACCCUACGUGCCGGAGUCUUGGCACUGUGGGGUCCCAUCCUGCCCUGGGCUGGGGUCCCCAUUCCAAGGAGGAGCAGCUCAUCCAGCCCGUGUUCCCAGCCAGUGUGGGAGGAAAAAGGAGGGAGCUACAGGCAGUCUGCUUGGCUCCUGCUGCCCUUCCUUCCCUGGGAAGGCACAGGCACUGCUUCCUUCCUCCUGCCUUGUUCGGGGUUAGAACAGCCCUGUACCACUUGGCUUUUGUCCAUCCCAGGGUGAGGAUCCCUCCCUCCCUCAUUCCCACCUCUCCUAAAUCUCUGGGCUCUGACAGCUGCGAGCACAGGUAGCCCUGGGCUUGGAGCAGCUGGCAGGAGGGGAAUGGAGCCUGCAGUGCUGGGGGAUGUGCCCAUCCACAUCUACACAGUAGAGAUCCCUCUGCAAAGGGAUGUCCCUGCCUCACUCCCAUGGGACAGUCUGGCACAACGAUUGAUUUUGCAGAGGCUUGGCCAGGAGGAUUGCCCCGCAUUUUGACCGAAGUGCACACCCCUGCCUGCGCUUCCCAAACAUGGCAGUGGUCCAGCAUGCUGAGCAAAGGCAGUGCCAGUUCACUGAGGGAAUGGGCACAAACCCCACUGGCAGAGGUGCCUCCUCAGCAUGGGAACUGGAUACCUGGCUUUUGCAAUCCCAGCAGUCUUCCUCACCAGUGUGGGGUGGGAAGGCUGUGGCACAUGUUGAACCGGUUUCUGCAAGUUUUAGGGGGUGAGAAAUACUCCUCCUGCUCCGGCCAGCCCCACACCAGGUGUGGUGCAAUAGGUGGCAGCUUUAGGGCUGGUGUUUGCUGGCCCUUCCUUGCCUCAUCUUGGAUGGUUUUCCCACGCUGGCAGGUUUUGGGAUGUCCCUGCCAAACGUGUGCUGAGCAUGGGAGGUUCCCUCCAGGAACAAACAGAGUGCCAAGGAGUCACUGGGCCAGUUUGUCCGUCCCUGUCCCCCAAAGGCCUUACACUCCCCAAAGCCUCAUGAUCCUCCCAUGACUUCUGCAUGUGCAUCACCUGAAACAUUCAUUGCAUUGGAAAUGAAAAAGGGAAAAGCUCCCAUAGCCUCUUAGAGUCAGUAGCUAAGAAUUUCAGAAAUCCUUUAAUAAGUUAUGUGAGUACUUUAUUCACUUAAUUGAAAACGAUUUCUUUUUUUACAGAAUCAUUUAGGUUGGAAAAGACCUCUAAGAUCAUCGAAUCCAUUUGUGAAAAAGUGUAAAGCUUCACAGAGCUGUUGAGGGCUGAAGUUCUCCUUGAUGGUGGGAGGAGGGAUUCGACAGAGAGGAUCUGCUCUGCCCUUGGAGAGGAUCUGCUCUGCCCUUGCUGCUCUUGGUGGUGGUUGCUAUUCUGUGGUGUGAUUUUCUGGCAAGUCUCAAAGACCCUGAUCCCCCUGGGGGUCCUUGAAGGAAGCGGGAAGUGGAGUGGGCAGCCUGUCCUAGGAUAACAAACAGCUCCGUGGCUCCAGAGCAUCACUGUGCAACCUCCCCAUCAGGCCCAAGCGGGAAGCAGUCGCACAGAGGACACAUCUGCACUCUGGGGCGUGCAGAGGGCUGUGGUUGUCAUUUGCCCGAUGGCUACAAGGAAGGUGACAUUGAGAUACAGGGAGAGAGGAAAAAAAAAUAAUUAGGCUGAGACUCCUCUGGGCAGAGGAUGUACCCUGUGGAUUGCUGAACUGUGACUGCAGCUGGCUCUGCGCGGAGUUCUCGUGAUUAAUUGGGGAUGUUUAACCCCAGCCGCCGAGGCUGCCGCCUUCUCCAGCACAGAGUUUGCUUGGGAGCAAAUCACUCCAGUGAAAAACACCGGCUGGGCUGGGAAGCCAGAGGAUCGUCUGCUGGGCUGCAUCCCAGAGCUGUCCUGCUUCUUUUCCCCCUGGACACAAGGCAGCCUUUGGAAACGGGACAGGACCCAUUGCAGGCGUAUCAGAGAGGGAAAAAAACAUACAGGAAGGUGGACUACAAUAGAAGGGUUGUCUGAUAGGAAACCCCGGACAAAUAAAUGCAUUUUUUUCCCCAGGAAACCCAAACCAGUUCCAUAAGCCACUGAAAGAUAUGGGGCCAUAUUUUUCCAAGGGAAACGGCUGCGUGAAGAAGCUGAUAGCUGGGAGUGGGGGUUUUUUCCCCCUUUGUGUUUGGAGAGGUUGCAGGAGGAGUAGCAGGAUAUCUGCUGGGCAAGGGCUCCGAGUCACAAGUCUCCAGAGGACGGGAGGGAAAUCCCAAGCCUGUGUCUCAGAGCGAGGCAAGGGAAAUUUUAAAUCAUUAAUGUAGGGGGAAAAGGGGGAAUCCCAGGUCACUGGGAAAAAAACCAAAGAUGCAUAGGAGAGAGUCCUGCCUGCCUGGGGUAUCAACACUAUAAUCUCUGUCGAUGGGAAGGGGUUUUUAACUCCGGAAAAACCCUUUGCUUUCUAGUACAUGGCUGUGCUGCAGGCUCACACCUCACAGUGGUUUCGGGGUAGGUGACAGAGCUGCUUCCUGUCCUUUGGGUUUAGGUCUGUAUCGAUUUGUUUGUGUUUGUUUCGCUUGUGUUUGGUUUUCAUUCAACAGCGAUAGUGGUCGGUACUCUUGGCUGUGUUUUGGGAUGUUUCCCAGCUCUUCUGACCUUAUCUCCAAGCACGGAUAAACCAGAGCAGUUGGGAGCCCUGGGGGAUUAGUUACCGAUAUCCGAUUGCGGCAGGUCCAGACCGCAUCCAUGCGAAUCAUCGAUAUUUCUGGAAUAAAACCCAACCAUAACAACCCUCCUCCUCCACCUCCCGAGCGCUGCAUGGGUCCCUCACAAUUCAGAUGUUUAUUCGCAUCCAGAAAUGAACUCAAGCUGUGGAUGGAUUCCCAUUUGGAAAUGUUCCUCCCUGUCCUGUUUCGUUUACGUCAGCAAUCGCUGGGGAUGUGCCUGGAUCUCCCUGGGGCUUUGGCUGUCCUGAAGCUCUGUUUUUGCUGCAGGCAGCUGCUGGUGCAAAGGCUGUAGCCCCAACCCUACUUUUAGUGAGGGAUAUCUGGUUGAUUUGUUCCCAACCUCUUCCCAGGAAGGGUCUAACGCACAAAUCUUGGUCCGAAUUGAAGAGAGAGUGGCCGAUGCACUGCAGUGGUGCUGAGACAGCCAAGGGAAGUGAUGGAUGAGUUCAACCUGUGCUUUGAGGAGACCUUAAUUUCACUAUCCAUCCUACCAGGAGGGUUUUCCACCUCUUUACUGCAUAUGGCUUCCCCCUGGGGCCUGGGCCACACAUUU